GGUUCCCGGAAAGUCACCUACACCCUCCACACAAAUACAAACCAGAAGUCAUUCGUCAGCCAUUAAAGAACCCCAUUAACAUUACGAAUAAGGAUGCUAUUGGCGUGCAUUGGCUAGCACAAGCAUAAGCAUAUAAAAUAGUUGAAAAAAUUUUACUUUAAGUAGGCAUCUGAAUCACUCGAAUAAACUUUAUGUAUUAUAUAUAGAGCAACUUAUCGGACACUCUUGAAUUGAAAUGGAUGCGAAAGAUAACAGAACCCAGAAAAUGAAAGUUAACGAAAGAGUAAAUACUCACAAAACCGUAACCUUUUGAU
Molecule: unclassified non-coding RNA, 314 nt
Filed under: Hevea brasiliensis (rubber tree)
Lineage: Eukaryota; Viridiplantae; Streptophyta; Magnoliopsida; Malpighiales; Euphorbiaceae
Source: RNAcentral